Transfer RNA from Sphaerobolus stellatus SS14, 72 nucleotides. It matches the Rfam family "tRNA". Rfam says of the family: Transfer RNA (tRNA) molecules are approximately 80 nucleotides in length. The record is from Rfam. NCBI's taxonomy places the organism in Eukaryota, Fungi, Basidiomycota, Agaricomycetes, Geastrales, Sphaerobolaceae.
GGACCGAUAGCGUAGUGGUAGAGCACACGAUUGCAAAUCGUGGGGUCCUGAGAUUAACCCCCUAUCGAGCCU